Molecule: transfer RNA, 97 nt
Filed under: Trichosporon asahii var. asahii CBS 8904
Lineage: Eukaryota; Fungi; Basidiomycota; Tremellomycetes; Trichosporonales; Trichosporonaceae
Description: tRNA-Glu
Source: RNAcentral
UCUUCGCUAGUAUAUCGGUUAGUAUAAUCGCCUCUCAGUACGAGAGAUCCUUCUCAGGUGUUCGCGAUAGAGCAGGGUUCGACUCCCUGGCGGAGAA